UCGUUCAUUUCCAGGUGUUUUAUCGAUUGCCAAAAUUGGCGCUAAUAAACUUUUCACGAACCGACCAGUCCGACCACCCCCAUCUCAAAUUCAACUCGUUACACGAACUUUACGUGAACUUUCAACCCGCUCCGCCAACUGCAUGCGAACAAACAAGCCAACAACUCGUUGUACCGCACGCAAUUUUUUACACCUUUUGGCCAGUGGAGUCGCCAAUAAAAAUCAUAAAAAAUACUUCCUUUAUUUUUUAUUUGUGUUUUUUUAUUACUUUUGAUUGAUUUCUUGUCAUCCACUGGGCUUCGUCUAAAAAAAAAAAAAAAAAAAACUGAUUACGCACCGGUUGGUUGGGUUAUGGUUUCCCUUGAGAUUGGCGUUCUCGAGUUAGCUUUUUUCUCCUUUUUUUUUCUUCUUCCGGAUUGUAUUGGCGCCCCGUCCGCGUCCGACCCAUUCACCUUUAAUUCAAAGCUCUCGCCCAUUCGCUGAGGGCUGAGUGAUGAAGAAAACCGGCGGGUAAGAAUGCUAUCGAUAAUCAAAUUAUUUGAUAAUAACAUCAAGAAAGCGAAGAAGAAGUAGAAGAGGAAAGAAAGAAAAAAUAAAUAUAGUGCCCAGGAAAAAUAAUAAAUCAAUAAAAACGACGAUGAUGAAGAACUAGCGGGACCGGCAGAACCCUCCCGUAUAUAUAAUAUGUAGCAGCAUGGCAUUUUCUCCUUUCGAUUCGCAUGCGAUUUUCAUAUAAUGGCCAUUUCCUGCUGCGUUGGCUGUCCCUUUUUGCGGACGUCCGAAAGAUGAACGGGUCCAGGAAUUCCAAAAAGGUACAUAUACUAGACUCCUUAUCCCCCCCCCCCCGUUCCCUUUUCCUUUUUUUGGUUAUUACCUAUGUAUGUUCUGUCGAUUUUAUCCUGGCCCGAGAGUGACUUCUUGCACGUUGGGAGGGAAAACCCUGGGUGUGCGUCUGACGGAAACAACUCUCAUCUCUUGUGCUCGUGGCAAAAACGACGGGGUUUUCAAAUCCAAUCAUCUUGCCAGCAGUUUCAAUUCCGCUCCACCCAAAACUCCAGCAGAGUCAACACUUGAGAAACUCCCAACUUUACAUAAUCACUCAUCAAUUUCCUAUGGCACUGGCGUCACUAAACUGCUGGGUGCUGUCUAUAACUUGAUUUCUUGUCCCCGUCUUUUUCCUCCGUCGAUUAAAAGAGCGUCGCUCAUUAUUAGUUUCCCAUUACACACUUUCAGAAACUGUGUAAAGUUGCAACGUCUUUUACCUGUCACGGUGUGUCGAAACAACACGGGGAAAAAUUAAUAACAAAUAAAUGGAUCGA
Long non-coding RNA from Daphnia pulex (common water flea), 1319 nucleotides. RefSeq lists it as uncharacterized. The record is from RefSeq and is a predicted model, not a curated record. Lineage: Eukaryota; Metazoa; Arthropoda; Branchiopoda; Diplostraca; Daphniidae. The transcript is spliced from 2 exons.